AGUUCUUUCCUGCACCAGGUUCUAUGGAGAAUUGGUUGCAUGGUUUCUCGUGUUGUGGGCAUCAGGGACUUCAGGGUCAAGGUGUUUAGUUGUGGCUUUGUGCAAACCUCAGAACUGUGUCCUCCAAGGGCCUGGGGUAUUUGGCAGGCGCUGUCUCUUGCUGCAUUUGCUGCUGUGUGACAGACAAAAUAGAAGCCACCUGGAGGCAACUUCCUCACCCAUCAACAAGCUCACCAGCCUUCAUGCCUCUCCUUCGGAGCUUCCCUGCCGACAGUGGCAGCCACCUUCCUCUGGAACCACCUUCCUGGGCCUCUCCUUCAAUUAAGCUGCACAGCAGCAUUUUCUACACUUGCUCUGGCUGCAUCCUCACUAUCCUGCACUAGCAAUUGUUGGUGAGGUUCUUCAGGCUGCAGAUGGAGACAUAGGAAGGGCUGGACUGACUCCCCUUCUCACUGUGGCUGGGCAGGGUAGGGGGUACCCCGGCUUCCAGGAUCUCUGGAAGCAAGGACAACCUCAACGGCUGAUCCUCAUCCUCUGGCGCCAUCUGCUGCCCAGAUGGGGACACAGCCCUCUUGCUGCACCGAGAAAAUGCGUGUCCUGAAUUCUCCGUGAGCUUUACUGAAUUAAAACAAACAACAUAAAAUCAUGGGAGUGCCUUUAAUUAAUGUUGAAUAAGUGAAUAAGAUUAUAAUA
Molecule: non-coding RNA, 693 nt
Filed under: Pongo abelii (Sumatran orangutan)
Lineage: Eukaryota; Metazoa; Chordata; Mammalia; Primates; Hominidae
Source: RNAcentral